GUCUCCGUAGUUAAAUGGAUAUAACAGCCCCCUCCUAAGGGGCCGUUACAGGUUCGAUUCCUGUCGGGGACGCCA
This 75-nucleotide transfer RNA is filed under the name Burkholderiaceae bacterium DAT-1. RNAcentral describes it as "tRNA-Arg". It matches the Rfam family "tRNA". Rfam says of the family: Transfer RNA (tRNA) molecules are approximately 80 nucleotides in length. Their secondary structure includes four short double-helical elements and three loops (D, anti-codon, and T loops). Lineage: Bacteria; Pseudomonadati; Pseudomonadota; Betaproteobacteria; Burkholderiales; Burkholderiaceae. The record is from RNAcentral.